Long non-coding RNA from Daphnia pulicaria, 749 nucleotides. RefSeq lists it as uncharacterized. The record is from RefSeq and is a predicted model, not a curated record. NCBI's taxonomy places the organism in Eukaryota, Metazoa, Arthropoda, Branchiopoda, Diplostraca, Daphniidae. The transcript has 4 exons.
CAACAAUUGCUAUCUGGAACUCGACGAAGAAGAUGUUGGAGAGAAAUUUCAAACGUUCGUCAAAGAAAGUUUAUUUAUUUGGCCAUUGAGCUCAGACUAAUCAAUCCUAUUUUGCAUAGUUCCGGCCAAUAAUCCUGACAAAAUAUUUUCUACUAAACCACCCGUCCUGCCUCUCUCUCGGUCAAAUCCUUUUGAUCACCCUGUUCUCCUUGUAGCUAUCCGCAUUCUGAUCCCGGUAUCCUCUACUAUUUAAUCAGUUCUGACGCCGUUGUUUACAAUCGACUCCCAGAUGAUAAGAAUGCUUACUUUGACUCGCUGACUGAACUUACUUUACCACUUAUAUCGAUAAACAGCAUCCCGUUUGGAAUGGAGAAACUUUGGAUGUCGGUCGAGUUACGGAUUUCUUUCCUCCCAUUCUUUUCAAAAUGUCCUCGUGUACGCCCAUGUGAAUGUGGGUGUAUUCACGAGGACAUCCUUUAUACCCUAUCCUGUCUGGUGUAAUUUAAUUCUUCAGCGGAUGGAUGGAUCAACUGUAGAUGCCUGGCUGCAUUUCCCAGGCGCCAAGGACAGAAAUGAAGCGUUGGCGUCACUUGGAGGUAAUGUAUUUAUUAAGUGUGCACCUUUAUUAACUCUGCCCCGAGUUACAUAAACGAAGAGGUAACAUCGAACUUAAGAAUUCUCUCAGAAUUUUGAUGGUCUUUAAAUUUUUUAUGGUGUCUAUCUGUGAUUAUACUGUCACAUUUCGGGGG